Molecule: unclassified non-coding RNA, 272 nt
Filed under: plant metagenome
Description: partial contains small subunit ribosomal RNA, internal transcribed spacer 1, and 5.8S ribosomal RNA
Source: RNAcentral
UUUCCGUAGGUGAACCUGCGGAAGGAUCAUUAAUGAGUUGUCAUGGGGUUCGAUGCUGGCAGCCAGUUUUUGGAUGCAUGUGCUUGCCCUAACAAUCAUCUUCUUCCAAACACCUGUGCACAUUUUUGAGGGAGUCCUGAGUUGGUUGCCGCUCUUGGGUGAUUUUCUCACAUUCCCUUAAAUCAUUAUACGCUAUUAACAAUGUUGAACGUGCUCUGUGCCGCAAGGCCAUUAAUAUAAUACAACUUUUAACAACGGAUCUCUUGGCUCUC